AUCCAGCCCUUUUUCUCUCCCUAAACUUCUACGAGCAGCCGUCUCCCUCAAUCCCUGCUACCAGACGCCCUUUGCAGCCUCUCUCUCUCUCUCUCUCUCUCUCUCUCUCAAUGCAACCCUGGCCGUGCAGCCCUCUCUCUCCCUUCUUCAAUCCCUCCUUCAACGAAGCAACCAUAGCAUGGGUCCAGAUCUGGAUCUGGAUUCAACGGUUCUGGCUCGGGAUUUGGACAUGAUUCAGGAUCAGGAAGCGGUUAUAGGUCAGGCUGUGUCAUAUCUUUCCAUAUCAGUGGGUAGGUCUCAUCCAUGAUAGGGUGGGACACUCAAUUCUUCUGUCCUCAUGCUGUUCUCCUAAUGUCAUUUUCCUCCAAAAUCCUAAGCUUGUAUCCUUCCUAUAAUAAAAACACCUAGGGAAAUUGUUCUUAGUAUGUGAUCUGUGCUAAUUGUGCUACUCGGUCCAAUCAGACUACUCUAAUCCAGCAGCAAAUCUUUGCUAAUUGUGCUACUCAAUCC
Magnolia sinica is the source of this 510-nucleotide long non-coding RNA. RefSeq lists it as uncharacterized. The transcript has 3 exons. The record is from RefSeq and is a predicted model, not a curated record. Lineage: Eukaryota; Viridiplantae; Streptophyta; Magnoliopsida; Magnoliales; Magnoliaceae.